RNAcentral lists this non-coding RNA (158 nucleotides) under human gut metagenome. The record is from RNAcentral.
AGGUUGCCGCAUAAAAGGGAAUCCGGUUGGAAUCCGGAACAGUGCCCGCUACUGUAACUUCUACUGUUUAAAGCAGUAACAGAGCUUCUUUUACCACUGUAAAGUUUUACGGGAAGGUGCUCGGUGAAGUGAGUCAGGAAACCUGCCUUGGCAUAUAA